Molecule: ribosomal RNA, 457 nt
Filed under: Microcystis ichthyoblabe
Lineage: Bacteria; Bacillati; Cyanobacteriota; Cyanophyceae; Chroococcales; Microcystaceae
Description: bacterial SSU rRNA
Rfam family: Bacterial small subunit ribosomal RNA
Source: RNAcentral
ACUUCAGGACGGGGACAACAGUUGGAAACGACUGCUAAUACCCGAUGUGCCGAAAGGUGAAACCUAAUUGGCCUGAAGAAGAGCUUGCGUCUGAUUAGCUAGUUGGUGGGGUAAAGGCCUACCAAGGCGACGAUCAGUAGCUGGUCUGAGAGGAUGAGCAGCCACACUGGGACUGAGACACGGCCCAGACUCCUACGGGAGGCAGCAGUGGGGAAUUUUCCGCAAUGGGCGAAAGCCUGACGGAGCAACGCCGCGUGAGGGAGGAAGGUCUUUGGAUUGUAAACCUCUUUUCUCAAGGAAGAAGUUCUGACGGUACUUGAGGAAUCAGCCUCGGCUAACUCCGUGCCAGCAGCCGCGGUAAUACGGGGGAGGCAAGCGUUAUCCGGAAUUAUUGGGCGUAAAGCGUCCGCAGGUGGUCAGCCAAGUCUGCCGUCAAAUCAGGUUGCUUAACGACCUA